This 407-nucleotide ribosomal RNA is filed under the name uncultured bacterium. Its description in RNAcentral is "partial 16S ribosomal RNA". It matches the Rfam family "Bacterial small subunit ribosomal RNA", at positions 28 to 526 of the family's 1533-position model. The record is from RNAcentral.
GACGAACGCUGGCGGCGUGCUUAACACAUGCAAGUCGAACGAAGUGGCGAACGGGUGAGUAACACGUGAGUAACCUGCCCUCUUCUUUGGGAUAACGGUCGGAAACGGCUGCUAAUACUGGAUAGUGGGGGAUGGGCUCGCAGCCUAUCAGCUUGUUGGUGGGGUGAUGGCCUACCAAGGCUUUGACGGUUAACCGGCCUGAGAGGGUGACCGGUCACAUUGGGACUGAGAUACGGCCCAGACUCCUACGGGAGGCAGCAGUGGGGAAUUUUGCACAAUGGGCGCAAGCCUGAUGCAGCGACGCCGCGUGGGGGAUGAAGGCCUUCGGGUUGUAAACUCCUUUCACCAUCGACCGGUAGAUGGAGAAGAAGCACCGGCUAACUACGUGCCAGCAGCCGCGGUAAUAC